CAUAACGGUUCAUUCCAAAUCAAAUACAAUAGGUUUAACCCAACCCAAAACCCAAAGUCCACAAAUAAAAUUUCAAAAUCCAAAGUCCACAAAUAAAAUUUCAAAACCCAAAGUCCACAAAUAAAUCCCAAAACCCAAAGUCCACAAAUAAAAUGCCAAAACCCAAAGUCCACAAAUAAAACCAACGACCGCAAAGUCGUUAAACUAAACAACCAAAUCAAACGACCGCAAAGUCGUUAAACUAAACAAUCAAAUCAAAUGACCGCAAAGUCGUUAAACUAAACAACCCAAAUUCAAACGACCGAAAAGUCGCUAAACUAAACCCAAAUCGAAACGACCGAAAUGUCGCUAAACUAAACCCAUAUUCAAACGAUCGAAAAGUCGCUAAACUAAACCCGAAUCCAAACGACCGAAAUGUCGCUAAACUAAACCCAAAUUCAAACGACCGAAAUGUCGCUAAACUAAACCCAUAUUCAAACGACCGAAAAGUCGUUAAACUAAACCCAAAUUUCAAACGACCGAAAAGUCGUUAAACUAAAUCCAAAUUUCAAACGACCGAAAAGUCGUUAAACCAAAUCCAAACCCAAACGACCGAAAAGUCGUUAAACUAAACCCAAAUUCCUUGAACCAUGAACCAAAUCCAUACACCGAACCCAUGAACCAUAUCCAAGUUCAUGAACCAAAUCCAUACAUCGAACCCAUGAACCAUAUCCAAGUUCAUGAACCAAAUCCAUACACCGAACCCAUGAACCAUAUCCAAGUUCAUGAACCAAAUCCAUACGCCGAACCCAUGAACCAUAUCCAAGUUCAUGAACCAAAUCCAUACACUGAACCCAUGAACCAUAUCUCAUGAGCCAAUACUCAAAUCUCAUGAACCAAUACCCAAAUCUCAUCGUGAACCAUUUUUUUUUACUCUGGCACAUAUACCUAGAGUAAAAAUUAAAUAUCGACUACCCCUAAUACAUAUACUUAGGGCUAUGUCAAUCGCCUUGGCAUAUAUAACUAAGGCGAAACAUCUCCAAAUCGACAGAAUUCUAAGUCAUAUACUUAGAAUUCAGUAAAAUGAUAUCAACUUUAUUCGAACUCUAACAUAUAUACUUAGAGUUCAUCCGACUAACCCUAACACAUAUACUUAGGGUCUAGUCAGUCUUUUGCUCUAGCACAUAUACCUAGAGCUGAAGUCGAACCAUAUCCGACUAACCCUAACACAUAUACUUAGGGUCUAGUCAGUCUUUUGCUCUAGCACAUAUACCUAGAGUGGAAGUCAAGCCGUGCUCGACUAGUCCUAACCCAUAUAUUUAGGGUCUAGCCAGCCAUUUGCUCUAGCACAUAUACCUAGAGUGAAACCCAUACCCGAUCGAGCUCUAAUACAUAUACUUAGAGUUCAAAUCCGACUACCCCUAAUACAUAUACUUAGGGCUUAGUCAGACCUUCAUUCUAGCACAUAUAACUAGAGUGAAACUCGGUUAAUCCUGAUACAUAUACUCGGGAAUUAGCCACUCUCCACUUUCGGGUAAUUCGACCCACCUCAAUACAUAUACUUGAGGUCUGGUCACAUCUCCACCUUGGAACAUACAACCAAGGUGAAUAUAAUCGGACUCUAAGACAUAUACUUAGAGCCAGUUAGACUCUAAUACAUGGAGUUUAAUAUCGACUAGAUCUUAACACAUAUACUUAGGAUCUAGUUCGACCCACCUCAAUACAUAUACAUGAGGUCUGGUCACAUCUCCAUCUUGGAACAUAUAACCAAGGUGGACAUAAUCGGACUCUAAGACAUAUACUUAGAGCCAAUUAGACUCUAAUACAUAGAGUCUAAUAUUGACUAGAUUUUAACACAUAUACUUAGGACCUAGUCAACCUCAAAUCCAACUGAAUCCUAAUACAUAUACUUAGGAUUCAAUUUAUGUACAGUGGGGGUAUGCCCCUGCUUAAGCCAUGUAAACGGCAAAUCAUAUCAAUAAAAUUUUAUUUGCCUGUUUUGUCUCUUUUAUUAUCAGCAUUUAUAUUUGGUCUCUUAAUCGAGGGUUCCUUAACACCGAAAGUGUGGGGUAAUUAACAACAGAUUCUUGAGUCUGUUGGAAGCCAUGAACCUAUAAUCCUGAUUUCAAAAUAAAACAUAAAUAAAUUUUAUCUCUACCAUGAAUGACCACUCGCCCUAGAAACAACCUACGGCGGGGCCGGUUCGUUCGCGGCAGACAGCGGCGCAUUUCAGACUUUCCGCAGAAGCAUCACCGCAGUCCGAUGAUGAGCGGGAGUACAUGUCACAUGUUCCCUAUUCUAGUGCUGUCGGGAGUAUCAUGUACGUCAUGGUUUGCACACGGCCAGAUAUCUCCUACGCAGUGAGCAUGGUUAGCAGAUAUAUGACCAAUCCUGGUAAGGCUCAUUGGCAGGCUGUUAAGUGGAUUUUGAGAUACUUACGAGGUACCACUAGCACCUGUUUGGAGUUUGGGAGGUGUAAGGAUGGUGUGGUUGGAUAUGUUGAUUCAGAUUUUGCAGGUGAUUUGGACAGGAAGAGAUCACUUUCAGGUUAUAUAUUCUCUAUUGGCGGAUGUGCAGUUAGUUUGGAAAGCUUCACUACAACCUAUUGUCGUCUUGUCUACGACGGAGGCGGAAUAUAUUGCUAUGACAGAGGGUGUGAAGGAAGCUAUGUGGCUAAGAGGCUUAUUUGGAUAUCUUACUUCUUGUUGGAAUCCGACGAUUGUUUAUUCGGACAGUCAAAGUGCUAUUCAUUUGUCGAAAGAUCAGAUGUUUCAUGAGAGGACAAAACACAUCGAUGUAAAGUUUCACUUUGUUCGGGAUGUGAUUGGGAAACACACGGUGACUGUUAAGAAAAUUGGUACUGAGGACAAUCUGGCAGAUAUGCUUACUAAGUCCCUUACUAUUGCCAAGUUCAAGCAUUGUUUGGACUUGGUGGCAGUUAGCAGCAUUUGAGGCCCUAUGGGGCGUUUGGAGAAGGCAGAACAUGGAGCGUUAAGGAGCAUUGAGGCGAAUUAAAUUCAAGGUGGAGUUUUGUGGCGACCUCGACAUAGCGGCGGCUAAGCUACAAAUUAAACCAAGGUGGAGAUUGUUAUAUUUGGUUUAGAUUUGUAGUUAUCUAAAUUGGAGUUAAAUCCUAAUCUAAUUGGGAUUAUAUAUAAUUUAGAUUUAAUUUGGUAUAUAUGGAUUAUAAUUAGGAGUAUAAUUUUAAUUGAAUUAGAAUUAGACUCUAAUUAGGAGACAUGUAUUAUAUAUACAUGCUACGGCCAAGUUAAUGACGCCGCGACUCAAAUUAAGG
Molecule: long non-coding RNA, 3274 nt
Filed under: Ananas comosus (pineapple)
Lineage: Eukaryota; Viridiplantae; Streptophyta; Magnoliopsida; Poales; Bromeliaceae
Description: long non-coding RNA (ACOM_LNC033104)
Source: RNAcentral